CGCGUAGGUGGCUUAUUAAGUUGAAUGUGAAAGCCCUGGGCUCAACCCUGGAAGUGCAUUCAAAACUGGUAAGCUUGAGUCCUGGAGAGGGUGGUGGAAUUCCCAGUGUAGAAGUGAAAUUCGUAGAUAUUGGGAGGAACACCAGUGGCGAAGGCGACCACCUGGACGGAGACUGACACUGAGGCGCGAAAGCGUGGGGAGCAAACA
RNAcentral lists this ribosomal RNA (207 nucleotides) under uncultured bacterium. RNAcentral's name for it is "partial 16S ribosomal RNA". It matches the Rfam family "Bacterial small subunit ribosomal RNA", at positions 568 to 774 of the family's 1533-position model. The record is from RNAcentral.